RNAcentral lists this ribosomal RNA (253 nucleotides) under uncultured bacterium. RNAcentral describes it as "partial 16S ribosomal RNA". It matches the Rfam family "Bacterial small subunit ribosomal RNA", at positions 524 to 776 of the family's 1533-position model. The record is from RNAcentral.
UACGAAGGGGGCUAGCGUUGCUCGGAAUCACUGGGCGUAAAGCGCACGUAGGCGGCUUUGUAAGUUAGAGGUGAAAGCCCAGGGCUUAACCCUGGAAUUGCCUUUAAGACUGCAUCGCUAGAAUCGUGGAGAGGUGAGUGGAAUUCCGAGUGUAGAGGUGAAAUUCGUAGAUAUUCGGAAGAACACCAGUGGCGAAGGCGGCUAACUGGCCCAUUACUGACGCUGAGGCUCGAAAGCGUGGGGAGCAAACAGG